Molecule: long non-coding RNA, 898 nt
Filed under: Elaeis guineensis (African oil palm)
Lineage: Eukaryota; Viridiplantae; Streptophyta; Magnoliopsida; Arecales; Arecaceae
Description: long non-coding RNA (EGUI_LNC025906)
Source: RNAcentral
UCCUCUCUCGUUUCCGGCCGGGUGCUGUGAUCCACCACGGCCGGCCGGCAGUCGCCCCCCCUCCUCUCUCUCUCCCGUUUACUCUCUCCCUCUGAAUCUCUUCUGCUCCUCCUCUCUCUGUUCCGGCACCGAGGCCUGUUGCGGCUAUCGCGGCUGUUCCUUUCCUCCGGCGGCCGUUGGCCCCUCUGACGGUCGGCGCCGGGCCCCUUUCCGUCCCUGUCCUGUCUUCCCCCUCCCUCUCUUCUCUUUGAGUUCCGGUCCCUAUCGGCGGAUUUCUCCCUCCGGCGGGCGCCGGACGGCGGAAGACCAGGUCCCCCUCUUUCUCCCUCUGCGCCGGUCCUGUUGAGAUGGGCCAGCUCUCUCUCUCUCUUCCUACGGUUGCCGGAUGGAGGUCAUUCCCUCUUCCGCUCUCCCGCUGGUUCACCUUCCUCCCUUCCUCCCUCUCUCUUGUUUUCUCUCUCCCCUUCCCCCAACCCUCUGUUUCUUCCUCUUCGCUGGACCUUUCGGCAGUCGCCGGUCUGUUGCCAGUCUCGGCCUUUCUCGGCGUUUCUCUCCUCUCUUAGAUGCCUGACAGAUCCGAUCAUUUGGGCAGCCGUUUCCCUUCCCUAGGCUGGUCGACGAUGCUCUCCUCCUCCAAGACGUGGUGGUCGACGAUGCUCUCCGCUCUGCGCUCCUCUCCCUCGGGUGUGGUGGUUGAUGACGGUCUCCUCUCGGCGUUCCGCUCCUGUCGUGGAGAUUCUUUUGAAUUUUAAUUUUUAAAAUUUGAAAGUUAGUGUUUUUAUGUAUUGGAGGUUUUGAAUUUAAAAUGUCUAAAAGAAAAAAAAGUAUAGUAGUUCAGCAUGUUUCAUGAUCCCUGAUUUUGCGAUCUUGUGGAUGAAAUUAUCCCGGAAACCAUGAU